Molecule: ribosomal RNA, 370 nt
Filed under: Cryptocercus banshanmenensis
Lineage: Eukaryota; Metazoa; Arthropoda; Insecta; Blattodea; Cryptocercidae
Description: partial 16S large subunit ribosomal RNA
Rfam family: Archaeal large subunit ribosomal RNA (bases 1-186)
Source: RNAcentral
CUCUUCUUGAAUAUAAUUUGAUGUAUGGCCUGCCCACUGAAUAUUAAAGGGCCGCGGUAUUUUGACCGUGCAAAGGUAGCAUAAUCAUUAGUCUUUUAAUUGUGGACUGGAAUGAAUGGUUUGACGAGGUGUUAACUGUCUUUAAUUUUUUUUUAUUGAAUUUAAAUUUUAGGUUAAAAUGCCUAAAUGUUUUUUUGGGACGAGAAGACCCUAUAGAGUUUUAUAUAUUUUUAAUUUUUUUGUAUGAUAAAUUUUAAUUUAAAAAUUUAUUUUGUUGGGGUGAUGAGAAGAUUGAAUUAACUCUUUUUUAUUUUUUAUAUUUAUUCAUAUGUAUUUGAUCCAUUUUUAUUGAUUAUAAGACUAAAUUACC